RNAcentral lists this ribosomal RNA (427 nucleotides) under uncultured bacterium. RNAcentral describes it as "bacterial SSU rRNA". It matches the Rfam family "Bacterial small subunit ribosomal RNA", at positions 355 to 774 of the family's 1533-position model. The record is from RNAcentral.
UGGGGAAUUUUGGACAAUGGGCGCAAGCCUGAUCCAGCAAUGCCGCGUGUGUGAAGAAGGCCUUCGGGUUGUAAAGCACUUUUGUCCGGAAAGAAAUCCGUCUGGCUAAUACCCGGACGGGAUGACGGUACCGGAAGAAUAAGCACCGGCUAACUACGGGCCAGCAGCCGCGGUAAUACGUAGGGUGCGAGCGUUAAUCGGCAUUACUGGGCGUAAAGCGUGCGCAGGCGGCUUUGUAAGACAGAUGUGAAAUCCCCGGGCUCAACCUGGGAACUGCAUUUGUGACUGCAAGGCUAGAGUGCGUCAGAGGGCGGUGGAAUUCCGCGUGUAGCAGUGAAAUGCGUAGAGAUGCGGAGGAACACCGAUGGCGAAGGCAGCCUCCUGGGAUGACACUGACGCUCAUGCACGAAAGCGUGGGGAGCAAACA